GAUAAACGCUGGCGGCGUGCAUAACACAUGCAAGUCGAACGAUGAAGAUUAAAAGAUUUCUUCGGAAUGAACUUAAUUGGAUUAGUGGCGGACGGGUGAGUAACGCGUGAGUAACCUGCCUUGUACAAGGGGAUAGCCGUUGGAAACGACGAAUAAUACCCUAUGACAUCAAAUAAUCGCAUGAUAAUUUGAUCAAAGAUUUAUCGGUAUAAGAUGGACUCGCGUCUGAUUAGCUAGUUGGUAGAGUAAAAGCCUACCAAGGCAACGAUCAGUAGCCGGCUUGAGAGAGUGUACGGCCACAUUGGGACUGAGACACGGCCCAGACUCCUACGGGAGGCAGCAGUGGGGAAUUUUGCACAAUGGGGGAAACCCUGAUGCAGCGACGCCGCGUGAUUUAGAAGGCCUUCGGGUUGUAAAAAUCUUUUGUGUGGGAAGAAAAUGACAGUACCAUACGAAUAAGAACCGGCUAAUUACGUG
RNAcentral lists this ribosomal RNA (477 nucleotides) under uncultured bacterium. RNAcentral's name for it is "partial 16S ribosomal RNA". It matches the Rfam family "Bacterial small subunit ribosomal RNA", at positions 28 to 507 of the family's 1533-position model. The record is from RNAcentral.